RNAcentral lists this microRNA precursor (101 nucleotides) under Canis lupus familiaris (dog). RNAcentral describes it as "mir-8834 microRNA precursor family". It matches the Rfam family "mir-8834 microRNA precursor family". Lineage: Eukaryota; Metazoa; Chordata; Mammalia; Carnivora; Canidae. The record is from Rfam by way of RNAcentral.
AGGAACAACAGGGGCGGCGGCCAGCUCUGGAGCCCUGGAUUUAGCUCCUGCAGUAACUACGGAGCUCUCAGUCCGAAGGGGUCUGGAUGCUCUGCGGGCGG